GUUGAGGGGAAUGAAGCCUGGUCCGAAAUCAUCCAGAUCACACCAUGCAGUUUGCAUAUGAAAGAUUUCGCACCAGACGACACUCCCCUCAAC
Molecule: microRNA precursor, 93 nt
Filed under: Olea europaea subsp. europaea
Lineage: Eukaryota; Viridiplantae; Streptophyta; Magnoliopsida; Lamiales; Oleaceae
Source: RNAcentral